UGGGGCUGAGUUUCCUGUCCCCUGGGGGUCAAGACCAGAUGGAAGUGUGCUCUGUCUGCUUAAUGGGCAUCAUGUCUCCACAUGGGUGCUUGUCCAUCUGGGGCCUAUUUCCUAACACUGACUCUUUAGUGAGGUUCAUGGGAAAGUGAAGGACAAAUUUAUCACCUGAUGAUUCUAGUGAUGGGGAGAUUCCCAGAUGUCACACAUCAGUGGGGAAGGUCCCUUCUGAGGACAGACAUCCAGAUGGGCAGUUGAUCUACUUCCCACAUGUGUACUUUCCCUGUAUUUCCUGAUCCUACCCUAGUGUUCAGUCACAGUUCUGGAACCUUCCCUGGGUUUCAGGAAUGUGGGGCUCCUUUAGGAUCACAGGACGCAGCCUUCCCCCUGACUUCUCACAGAACAUUUUCUUCCCACAGGCAGAGGCAAGGAGAGCUAUGAUCAGGCUGUCUGUAAGUCUGGGUGUCAGAGAAGUGACAUCUGGGACCCUUGGGAGAGUGUGGGCUGGAGUCUUUGAGGGGGGCUCCCCCACCCUGUAACUCUGCUGUUGUGUCUUCCCCAGGCAGCAACAGUGCCCAGGGCUCUGAUGUGUCUCUCACAGCUCCUGAUGUGUGACAGAGCUGCUUUCUGCAGGACUUGGUGCUAAAUAGUCAGUCCAGCUUCCCUUUGGGAUUAUGAAUCCCUGACUGCUGAU
This is a long non-coding RNA of Phyllostomus discolor (pale spear-nosed bat), 691 nucleotides long. RefSeq lists it as uncharacterized. The record is from RefSeq and is a predicted model, not a curated record. The transcript is spliced from 2 exons. NCBI's taxonomy places the organism in Eukaryota, Metazoa, Chordata, Mammalia, Chiroptera, Phyllostomidae.